GCUGGCGGCAGGCUUAACACAUGCAAGUCGAGCGCUGUAGCAAUACAGAGCGGCGCACGGGUGAGUAACACGUGGGAACAUGCCUUUCGGUUCGGAAUAACUCAGGGAAACUUGUGCUAAUACCGGAUACGCCCUUACGGGGAAAGAUUUAUUGCCGAAAGAGUGGCCCGCGUUGGAUUAGCUAGUUGGCGGGGUAAAAGCCCACCAAGGCGACGAUCCAUAGCUGGUCUGAGAGGACGACCAGCCACACUGGGACUGAGACACGGCCCAGACUCCUACGGGAGGCAGCAGUGGGGAAUCUUGGACAAUGGGGGAAACCCUGAUCCAGCCAUGCCGCGUGAGUGAUGAAGGCCCUAGGGUUGUAAAACUCUUUCGGCGGGGACGAUAAUGACGGUACCCGCAGAAGAAGCUCCGGCUAACUUCGUGCCAGCAGCCGCGGUAAUACGAAGGGGGCUAGCGUUGUUCGGAAUUACUGGGCGUAAAGCGCGCGCAGGCGGUCCUUCAAGUCAGGGGUGAAAGCCCAGAGCUCAACUCUGGAACGGCCUUUGAGACUAGAGGACUUGGGUACGGGAGAGGUGAGUGGAAUUCCGAGUGUAGAGGUGAAAUUCGUAGAUAUUCGGAAGAACACCAGUGGCGAAGGCGGCUCACUGGCCCAUUACCGACGCUCAGGCGCGACAGCGUGGGGAGC
RNAcentral lists this ribosomal RNA (688 nucleotides) under uncultured soil bacterium. Its description in RNAcentral is "bacterial SSU rRNA". It matches the Rfam family "Bacterial small subunit ribosomal RNA", at positions 35 to 769 of the family's 1533-position model. The record is from RNAcentral.